UGGUGAGAUCAAUUGCCAAGAGUAGGAACUUUAGUUGUGAUAAGUGUGAAGCUGUUAGGAGAGGGUUUAAUCUGGCUAGUGUAGCAGGUGAAAUGGGAGGGAACACUGUGAGGGAGGUCUACCUAACAAGGAGAAAAUUGAGAGAAAUUCAGCCAGAAUGUAGCCCUACUUUCUUCUAAAUGGAAAUACUCAUCACUGUGAGAAUAGAGACAAACAGAAUGCGAGAAAGAAAAAUACAGUAACAGAUAGCAUUUAUCUAUUUAAGCAUUUUGCAUAUAUUAACUCAUAAAAUGCUAUUAGAUAAAACACUAUUAGGUAAUACAGUAUUAUUCCUAUUUUACAGAAAGAAGCUCAAAGUUGUUAAAGCAAAAGAGAGGGACCUUACUAUUUUGCCCUUGUCUGCUUCCCCAGAAUUCUUUUGCCACUUACUACUUUGAACUUUCUGCAUGAACACCAUCAAAUGGUUUUCAGUUUCAUGCCAUGAUGAGCUAUUUCUUGCCUCUGUACCUUUGGUCAUGCCAAGAUUCUCAGUCCAUGACCCCUUUUCUUGACUCCCAUCCAUUCUUUAACCCUCAGAUUCUGUUACUUUCUCACAAUUUGUGGACAUUUCUCUCACGGUGUUAAAAUAUUCUGUUUCCUUACCUUCACCUGGACUGGACUGUGGGCAGGACAUAGAUUUCGUGUCUGUGGCAUAGGGCCUGGCCAAUACUAUAUAUAUUUUUCAACUCAACCACAAAUGAGUAAAUAUCUGCGAUAACUAGGUGAACAGAAAAUUCUCAGGGAUGAGGUUUAAAAUACGGAAAGAGGAAAGAAGUAAAAACUCGUGGCAAAAUAGAACUUGCAUACUCUUUGCUUUCAAUUUAGGCUAGGGGUCAAACCAGAACUAUAGCUGCUGGCCUAUACCGCAGCCACAGCAAUGCGGGAUCUGAACUGCGCCUGCAACCUACACCACAGCUUUCAGCAACGCCGGAUCCCCAGUCCUCUGAGAGAGGCCAGGGAUUGAACCCGCAUCUUUGUGGAUACCAGUCAGAUUCAUUUCCGCUGCACCACAGUGGGAACUCCAAGGAAAAAAACAGCAUUUAAUAUGAGUUUGUAUACUACAGUCUAAGGAGAUUUUGUAUGAGUUCUGAGCGAUAUAGGUACUCAUAGGAAUGUAUCUCUAAUUUUUCCCCAUCUUAGUUAAUGGUGUUAACUUUUAAUGAUAACCUCUGCCCUUGGGUCUGCAGAAAUUCAAAACGGUUUGGGUAUUUUGAUGUGCAGGGAAAAAAAAUGGACACUUCCAAAAAAAUUUUUUUGACCACACCCAUGGCAUGUGGAGGUUCCUGGGUCGGGGAUUAAACCUGAGCCACAACAGUGACCAGAGGUGAUGCAUGGACAACACCGGAUCCUUAACGUGCUGUGCCAGAAGAGCACGCCUGUACACAUUAAAAAAAACCCAAAUCCUUAAGCUUUCUCUGCUUAUCUUUAGCACUUAUCUGUGGCUUUUGCAAUGCUAGCAUUACCAUAGUGAUAAAUAGGGGGUGAUGCUAUCCAUAAAGUUUCCUGCAUAGUUCAAUAAAAAUACCAGUAAUGACUAUUUUUUAUUGGUUAUGCCUGGCACCAUGCUAAGCAUUUCACAUACAUUAUUCCAAUUAAUUACAGUACCUCUAUGUUACAAAUCAGAAAUGUGAGGCCCAAGGCCACCCACUGACAGAGCCAGGAUUCUGACACCAGUAACUAUGCUCACCACACUACACAUUUGCUCUAAUUUAUUAAUUCCUUUAGGUCUUUCUCUUUCAAGUGGCUUUAGUCAAUACAGCCACUGUGGGUUCUGCGCAUAUGCUGGAAAUAGCAUGGUCUGUUAAUUCUAACCCUCCACUGACUGUAUCAGGCAGUUCCUAGUUUUAAGCUCGGGCUCAAAGUGUAGACUCUUUUAUGAGAUUUCUGGCAGAAGCAGGUGAAAGGAAGAAUUCAAAACCAUUUCCUUUGUUGGGAGAGACACAUCAAGUAGUUGGGAGGGAGUGGGGCUGUUCCAUUCAGCCCUCAGUCUAGUCUCUUGGAGAGCAGCACUGAAGUCUCUCCCAUAAUUGCCUGCCUGGAAGGUGGAAAAUGGGAUAAGUGAUGUCACCGCAAAUGCAGACAUGCUGAACCCAAUAUUGCACAUCAGUGAAAUGGCUCAGGGAUUAGCUAGGCAUCCUCAACCCAUUUUCACAUUUAGUUUUCCUUCAAAGGAGAACUAUAUAAAAUAUACAACAAUAACCCAUGGCUUAUUUUAAAGUGCUUUCUUCUGACAGUCCUUAGUAGCACAUGAUUAGAGUUAAAAACCGAGAAACUAAUCCUUCUUCAGCUGCUGACCUGCAGUGUGAAAUGCAGUCAGGUAACCUACUCCAGGGCUGACCAAGGCACAGGUAUUUAUUAAGUAUCUAUUAACAGUCCAGCAUGAAUUUUUAUGCUUUGGGUAUCAAAAGAGUAUUGAAAGCUAGGUUUCAGCUUACCCUGAGCACCACACAAGUCAAAAUAAUGAAUUUCAGUGGUUAAAUGACUGGUAUAAACUACGGCAGUUGGGAUGACAAAUAAAUGAAUGACAGCUGGACUGGUCAAGCAUAGUGAGCAAUUGCUCUGACUGCCCACAAUCUACUUGUUUUUCCUCUAAUAACAUAAUACAUAUUUUGCUCUGAGAAGUCAUGCAUCCCCACUCUAAGUCCGCUUAGUUUGGGUGAUGACUAAGACAGGAAUGGGAGCAUGACUGACUAUAGCCAGUGAGAUUUUAAAAAUAUUCCUGUAUUGCCUAUGGCUGAAAGGAGACUUACACAUGGACUUUUCAGUUAGCUGAAACAAGAAAUUUCUUUUUUCUUAAGCAGUUUGCUUUGGCUUGUUUGCUACUUGCAACCAAAAUAUUGCUAACGGGUUUUCUGCUUCUAGAUAGGGUAGACUUCUGCUUCUCAGAAGGAUACAGUAGAAGCUGACAGGGUAAUGUUCCCACUGCAACAACUUGAAACCAACAGAUAAAUUGCAAACUUCAUAUUUCUGAAUGCAUGGGGGAAAUGUAGAAGUAACAGAGAUGAGAUAAACCCUAAAUCUUGAGAGGUGAGAAGCUGACUACUCUAGUCAUUUUUCAACCUGAGUCAUCUGCCAAUUUUGAGCAUGACCUGAGGAGCAGGCUCGCUGAUGAAGCAGAACUCUGCUGGGAGUAAGAGUGACCACCUGAGCUUUUAGCAGUUACAGGGGGCUGAUAUGGCAGUUUGGAAGCUUGAAGAGACUCAAAUACUUAUUGUUUCCAUAUAGGUUCUAGAGCUGCAGGGGAACUAAGCUAAAAGCUUCUAAAAUGCAGAGUAAAUUGUCUAGAGUUUCUUGGUGCUUAGGAACUAAGAUCUGCCAGUGAGAGAGCUUGCAUCAAGAAAAUUUACUUAGGGUCUAGAGAUUGACUGAAACUUACAGAGAGCAGAGAUGGAAACCAGUACUGUUCUGGGGCUCAGGAAAUAUUUCUGACAGGGAUAUACAUGUCCCUGACAGAAUAUAUAAAUAUAUAUAUUUGUCUCUUUUUUUAGGGCUGCACCCAUGGUAUAUGGAGGUUCCCAGGCUAGCCACAACCACAGCAACACAGCUAUACCACAGCUUACAGCAACACCGGAUCCUUAACCCACUGAACAGGGCCAAGGAUAGAACCUGUGCCCUCAUGGAUGCUAGUCAGAUUCAUUUCUGCUGAGCCAUGAUGGGAAUUCCUGUCAGGGUUAUAUUAAAAAAUCUAGGAGAUUUAGGCUCUUGCACCAGUGAAAAUCAGGAAUGGACUUAAUAUUAUAAAUAUUGCAAUCUAGUUUUGUUCCUAAUGAAUUUCUAAAUGGGUUAAGAUGAUUGUAUUUUGCUAUAUUUGCAUAAUUAUGAAGAAAACACUAUGGUGAAAGAUAAAAUAAUCUGGACCCUCUUUUUUUUUUAAAUUGAAGUAUAGUUGAUUCACAAUAUUGUGUUAGUUUCAGGUUAUAGCAAGGUGAUUCAGUUAUAUAUUUCUUUAGAUUAUUUUCCAUUAUAGGUUAUUAUAAGAUAUUGAAUAUAGUUCCCUGUGUUAUACAGUAAACUCUUGUUGCUUAUCUAUUUUAUGUACAGCAGUUUUUAUCUUUCAGUCCCUUAAUCCAAUUUAUCCCCCCCAUUUCCCUUAGGUAACCAUAAGUUUGUUUUCUAUACUUGUAAAACUGUUCUUUAUUUUGUAUAUAGACUCAUUUGUAUUAUAUUCAGAUUCUAAAAAUAAGUGAUAUCAUAUAAUAUUUGUUUUUCUCUGAUUUUCUUCACUUAUAAUAAUCUCUGGGUCUAUUUAUGUUGCUGCAAAUGGCAAUGUUUCAUUUUUUAUUGGUUAGUAAUAUUCCAUUGUAUAUAUGUAUGUAAAUAUACAUACAUGCAUACACAUACACAAGAUUGCUUUGGCAAUUCUGGGUCUUUGUGGUUCCAUAUAAAUUUUAGUAUUAUUUAUUCUAGUUCUGUGGAAAUACAUUAUGCGUUUUUUUGAUAGGGAUCACAUUAAAUGUGUGGUUGCUCUGGAGGUAGUAUGACCAUUUUAAGAAUAAUUCUUCCGGAGAUCCCGUCGUGGCGCAGUGGUUAACGAAUCCGAACCAUGAGGUUGUGGGUUCGGUCUCUGGCCUUGCUCAGUGGGUUAAUGAUCCUGCGUUGCCGUGAACUGUGGUGUAGCUUGUAGACGCGGCUCGGAUCCCGCGUUGCUGUGGCCCUGGCGUAGGCCCGUGGCUACAGCUCCAAUUCGACCCCUAGCCUGAGAACCUCCAUAUGCCGCGGGAGCGGCCCAAGAAAU
Molecule: long non-coding RNA, 4774 nt
Filed under: Sus scrofa (pig)
Lineage: Eukaryota; Metazoa; Chordata; Mammalia; Artiodactyla; Suidae
Description: lncRNA (ENSSSCG00000041549.2)
Source: RNAcentral